UGGGGGAUAUUGCACAAUGGGGGAAACCCUGACGCAGCAACGCCGCGUGAUCGAAGAAGGUCUUCGGAUUGUAAACUUCUUUUACCAGGGACGAAGGACGUGACGGUACCUGGAGAAAAAGCCACGGCUAACUACGUGCCAGCAGCCGCGGUAAUACGUAGGGGGCAAGCGUUAUCCGGAUUUACUGGGUGUAAAGGGAGCGUAGACGGAACGGCAAGUUUGAAGUGAAAUACCUGGGCUUAACCCGGGACUGCUUUGAAACUGUCGAUCUAGAGUGUCGGAGAGGUAAGUGGAAUUCCUGGUGUAGUAGUGAAAUGCGUAGAUAUCAGGAAGAACACCGGAGGCGAAGGCGGCUUACUGGACGAUAACUGACGUUGAGGCUCGAAAGCGUGGGGAGCAAACAGGAUUAGAUACCCUGGUAGU
RNAcentral lists this ribosomal RNA (423 nucleotides) under uncultured Oribacterium sp. Its description in RNAcentral is "bacterial SSU rRNA". It matches the Rfam family "Bacterial small subunit ribosomal RNA", at positions 355 to 794 of the family's 1533-position model. The record is from RNAcentral. Lineage: Bacteria; Bacillati; Bacillota; Clostridia; Lachnospirales; Lachnospiraceae.